GAGAACGCUGGCGGCGUGCCUAACACAUGCAAGUCGAACGGGGUAAUUUCUUCGGAGAUACGUUAGUGGCGAACGGGUGAGUAACGCGUGAGAAACCUGCCUUUCAGUGGGGGACAACAGUUGGAAACGACUGCUAAUACCGCAUAAUGUUAUUUGGGGGCAUCCCUGAAUAACCAAAGAUUUAUUGCUGAAAGAUGGUCUCGCGUCUGAUUAGCUAGUUGGUGAGGUAACGGCUCACCAAGGCGACGAUCAGUAGCCGGUCUGAGAGGAUGAACGGCCACAUUGGGACUGAGAUACGGCCCAGACUCCUACGGGAGGCAGCAGUGGGGAAUAUUGGGCAAUGGGGGAAACCCUGACCCAGCAACGCCGCGUGAAGGAAGAAGGCCUUCGGGUUGUAAACUUCUUUUACCAGGGACGAACAAAUGACGGUACCUGGAGAAAAAGCAACGGCUAACUACGUG
This 461-nucleotide ribosomal RNA is filed under the name uncultured bacterium. Its description in RNAcentral is "bacterial SSU rRNA". It matches the Rfam family "Bacterial small subunit ribosomal RNA", at positions 31 to 507 of the family's 1533-position model. The record is from RNAcentral.